This 468-nucleotide ribosomal RNA is filed under the name uncultured bacterium. RNAcentral's name for it is "partial 16S ribosomal RNA". It matches the Rfam family "Bacterial small subunit ribosomal RNA", at positions 28 to 507 of the family's 1533-position model. The record is from RNAcentral.
GACGAACGCUGGCGGCGUGCUUAACACAUGCGAGUCGAACGGAAAGGCCCUGCUUUUGUGGGGUGCUCGAGUGGCGAACGGGUGAGUAGCACGUGAGUAACCUGCCCUUGACUUUGGGAUAACUUCAGGAAACUGGGGCUAAUACCGGAUAGGAGCUCCUGCUGCAUGGUGGGGGUUGGAAAGUUUCGGCGGUUGGGGAUGGACUCGCGGCUUAUCAGCUUGUUGGUGGGGUAGUGGCUUACCAAGGCUUUGACGGGUAGCCGGCCUGAGAGGGUGACCGGCCACAUUGGGACUGAGAUACGGCCCAGACUCCUACGGGAGGCAGCGGUGGGGAAUAUUGCACAAUGGGCGGAAGCCUGAUGCAGCAACGCCGCGUGCGGGAUGACGGCCUUCGGGUUGUAAACCGCUUUCGCCUGUGACGAAGCGUGAGUGACGGUAAUGGGUAAAGAAGCACCGGCUAACUACGUG